Long non-coding RNA from Brassica rapa (field mustard), 12029 nucleotides. RefSeq lists it as uncharacterized. The record is from RefSeq and is a predicted model, not a curated record. Lineage: Eukaryota; Viridiplantae; Streptophyta; Magnoliopsida; Brassicales; Brassicaceae.
UGUAUGAGAGAGAUCAAAACAAGGAGAGUUGAGAGAACUCCACUAUGUUCUAAAUAGUAUGUUAAAAUAAUAACUACAUAAAUUUAUACAUUUAAAAUUUUAUAUUUAACUGUAGAUAUAAAUGUUGAAUUGGAGUAGAUAUCCCACUCUGAAACUUUUGUAUUUAUGAUUUUUUGUCAUUUUAACGGAUAUUGACAAAACAAGAAGAGUUGAGAGAACUCCACUAUGUUCCAAAUAGUAUUUACUUUACUUCGAAGAUUUUUUUUUUUUUUUUUUUGGCUCAACUUCAACUUUUCAUUAACCAAAGGAGUAGUACAUGAUCUUAACCACAAAGGAUUCAACCACACUUACAAACAAAGUAAUCUAGUAUCACCCAGGAACACAUAGAUGGAUCCUACGCUACCCGAUCGAGACUUUGUUGUAAUUCUACCCAAUGAGUACAAGCAUUCCCCACGACUCGGAAAACACUGUCUCUUAGACCCCUAAAUUCGACCACACGAAUGAACAACGGGAAGUCCGAAGAUAAACUGAAACUAAUCAAAGUUUAACAUUUAGAAACCAAGCAUUAGUCGCAAAAAGAUAUGCGUUCCGGACUCGGACCAAUUCUUCAACACCGAAAUGGUGCAACCUUGAUUAGAUUCAGCAUCACUGGACUUGACCGUCUCACUCCUUAGCCGGAAAGACGGCACAGAGCCGUACUGAUAAAAUCGGACCUGACAACCAACAAACACAACCGGAACAGCAUACCCUAGCUUCAAAUGGCGUGAGACCUUACCACCGGACAAUCUGCAGUGACGCCGGUGCUGGGAUGUAGGGCCUCACCGUGUGCGACCCGUGAAGCGUCCUCCACCGGUUGACUACUCCGACGGCGUUAAACUUCACCACACGUUACUUCGAAGAUUUAUAGAUAUCCAAAUCGAAUCAAAACAAAAUUAACGGAUAAAUUGCCAAACUUUAUUCUCAAUAAAGAUGAAGAGCACAAUUAGUAAUUUCACAUUUUCCUAGACAGAUGUCUAUCAGAUAGAUGGACAUGGGCCUUGGUCCAACAAAUGUCUAUCACAUAGAUCUACUGGCUUCUGGCAAUAUCAAUGAGGAGGAUCCUCUUGCUUAUGACUGCCUCACUAGUGACUUUUUAUUUUUAACAAGUAAAUCAAGGCUAGUGGUUGUUACCAUUACAACAUGAUAUCGAGAAUUCAAAUUUUGAGAAUUGAAUUGAAUACAUUCUAAUAAGGGCUAAUUGGCUGAGUAGCUACAAAAAAAAAUAAAGUCAAGGGAAUGGACAAGAUUUUGACGUAAUACAUUCGUUCGCUUUUUGCCUUCUUUUCUGCCGGUUAUGUCCUUAUACAUAAGAAGUUACCGGUUCCAACUCAUGGAAAAAACAACGUGGUGAUUUUGUGUCCCUUAAUAACAAUGACACACUUUAUAAAGCGCGUGGGUAAACCAUAUUCAAAAGUAAAGGAAGGAAAACAUGGAGAGAGACGAGUUGAUGAAAAGCUUAAGUGUGAAAAAAACAACGGUGUUUAACGAAGAAUGCAAGAAUGUAGUUCCAUACUAUAUAUUUUAGAUAGAAUUCAAAUAUAUGGGAGACGUUUCCAUUCGACAUGACUAACGUAGAAUAGAACCCUGUUUGUAAUUUAGUAAUAUAAUCACGAACAAAGACAGUGGAGUGGGCGGUUGGGGAGAGGCAAUGAUGUAUUUACUGCAAUAAAUUUACAAUUGUGGUUUACAACUCUUCUGUUUUUAAGAGUAGGAGAAAGCCACAAGAAUGUAGUUCCAUACUAUAUAUUUUAGAUAGAAUAAUAUAAGUACAAAUAUAUGGGAGACGUUUCCAUGUAUAUCUUACAUACAUAUGACGAAUGUUCUGUUCCAUAUCACCUAAGUAGUAUAGGAUUAUAAAUCCACUUAUAAUCCCUAAAUACUAAACAUAUCCCAACCACAAUUCCUAGAUACUAAACAUUAUCUCAAUCUCACCCAACCCCUAAAUACUAAACCCUAAAAUUUAAUCAGUAAACCCUAAAAACAAAUAUAAACAAUAAACUCAAAUAUAAACCCAAAAUCCAGAUAGAAUGGAACAAAAUAAAUAACAUAGUACAUAUUGGUGAAAUUAUGAAAUGUCUAUGAUUGCAUAAAAAAGUUAACGUCGACAAUAACCAUACUUCCCCACCUUCUAAAUACUAAACCCUAAACUCUAAUCACUAAACCUUACCCAAAUAUAAACCCUAAACCUAAAUAUAAAUCAUAAACCCAAAUAACAUGGAAUAAAAUAAAUAACAUAGUACCUAUUGGUGAGAUUAUGAAAUAUAUAUGAUUGCAAGGAAGAAGUUCAUGCCGACCCAAAACCAUACUCCCUCACUUUCUAAAUACUAAACUCUAAACUUAAAUCACUAAACCCUAAUCCAAAUAUAAACCAUAAACCUAAAUAUAAAUCAUAAACCCAAAUAGCAUGAAAUAAAAUAAAUAACAUAGUACCUAUUGGUGAGAUUAUGAAAUAUAUAUGAUUGUAAGGAAGAAGUUCAUGCCGACCCAAAACCAUACUCCUUCACUUUCUAAAUACUAAACCCUAAACUUAAAUCACUAAACCCUAAUCCAAAGAUAAACCCUAAACCCAAAUAUCAAAAUUUAAAAAGUACAUAAAAUUGUGUAGUAUUAAAUUAUAUUAUGUAAUAUUAAAGAAACAUCAUAUGAAUACCAUUCGACUCAACAUCACAUUGUAUUAUGUUUUAUCUGAUGUCAUAAUAAAUUUUAUUCCAUUUAUGUUUAAUAUACUAUUUCUCUUUACAAAAUCAUAUACACAUCAAUAUAAAAUAUGGAAAGGUCAAUACAUUCAAUAUUGUUUGUCAUUCACAACAAUAAAAAAUAAGUAUAUCUGACGACAUCAGUGAAGAUAGUACAUGCAACCGCAUCGGAGAAAAUAAUUUUGUUGUUGAUUCACUAGAUAGAAGAGAAGAACAUACAGUCAUAGAAUUAUGAGAAGAGGGACAAUUGCGGCAGAAACGAAUACAAUAGUUUCGAUUGUAUAGAUGGAGGUGAUCGCCACUGAACAAGUCAUGUCACUCGCCACACAAGUCUUCAAAACUCUAUUAUUCACCACAAUCCUUCACCAUCAACAGAGACAAUUUCAUCAACAAUUUCAUACAUCACAGAACAUCACAUAUUAAAUUAUGAUGAUUAAUUAUGUGGUGAUGUCAACACACAUUAUUUUUAAACUGAAAACCACUUCUAUAACAUAUACUAUACUAUUAACAUAAUAAUUACUAUACUAUGCGGGUAGACAUAUGUACUACUCCAUUUAUAUACAACACAGUCACCCACCAAAAUAUAGUUUAUAUAUUAUGGAAAUAGACAUCUAUACUACUUUAUUUACUUUUAUAUAGUAUAUUUUAUUUACAAAUUCACACAAACAAAGUAUUAGAGGUUGACAUAGCUAUCUUCAUCAGGUCUAUUUCCAUGUAUAUACACAGUUAACUAUAUUGUCAUGCAAAUGGAGUACAAGCACCAUGUAUAUAAACAGAAAAUCCCAAACUUCUGGUUUCUUUACUUUACAAUAUCAGAUUCCGACAUGUAAUAUGUAAUGAAUGAAAAUUCAGAAAAUUUAAGAGCAGUAAAACAACUUACAUAAUAGGCAAUGUGAAUUUGUGUUACCGCCGUUACGGUGCCGUCUUACUCACGCCUUUUGUCACCUACCGAGCCUUCGAUAAUGGUCUUCUUCUCCACAAACUCACCAAAAAUGUAAUCGGUGGCGUCUUAAUCGCUCAAAUAUGAAGAUGAAUCUAUUGACCUUUCCAUAUUUUACCAUUUGCUUUGUUAAUUGUGUGAGAGUAACUAAAGGCCACGUCUUUCUUUUAGAAUCACUAGUUAAUAAUUUAGAUUAUAAUUUUUUUGCAGGUUUUACCGGUUAAAUGAAAGGGUAGGAUGGCAAUAUUAUAGAAAAGACACAUUGUGUAUCGUUAUAUUAGGGAAAUUGACUACUUCAUGAAUUAUCCUUUUUUUCUUGGUUAUACAGGCAUAUUUCCCUUCUAAUAAUUCUUAUUAAAGUUUUAAAAUAAUUUUUUAUUUAUUUUGACAGCUUUUAAAUUGACAUGUAGUCGUUAUCCGUAGAAAGGAAAGAAUGUAUGGACUUGAUUCACUGAAGAAAUAUCUAGCAUCUCUGCUACCGCUCCUAUUUUGUUUUCUUUUAGAGGUUCUGCCAGCGGUUAUCCAAAGACAAUUAUCAAAGAUCAAGCUCGCGUGAUUCAGAAAUAAAAUAGUCAGAUUCAUGCAUAGGUACGUGUCGUUCUCGGUUAUCUGGCUGAAAAAAAAUCCAAAUUUGGCGAGCAUUCUUCAGAUCAGCACCGUGCCUCCUAGGAUUCAAGCCAAAGACGACAGAUCCGAAGACGUUUAGAUUCUUUUUAACACUAGUACCUUAAUGUUAAUUAUAAUUUAUUUGUGUUGAAUUUCAGAUUUAAUGUUAAUUAUAAUUUAUUUGUUUUUAAUAAUUUUAAUCUAUAUAUUUAAUUUUGUAAAGAAAAUUUUGUUUUAUGAAAUUGCGAUGGAGACUUCUUGUUUCUUCGCAAAUUCCUAGCAAAUUUACUAGAAAAUUACGAGGGUGUAUUUUGGAUCCAUCGCAAAUACUUUGUAAAUUAGUUAGGGAAUUGCAAGGGUAAAUUCAUUUUUUUGGACAAAGCAAGGGUAAAUUCUCUGUUGCAAAUUUACUAAAAAAUUAUGAAGGUAUACUCUGAUUCCUUCACGAAUUCUAAGCAAAUGUGCUAAAGAUUGCGGAGGGAAUAGCAACCAAAAAAAAAAAACAAUUUGCUAGUAAAGAUUUGCGAGGAAAAACCGUCAUUAUCAAAUACCUCGCAAAUGUCCAUUUGCAACUUUUUAGAGUUUUUCUCUUGCAAAUCGGGUUAUUUCUUGUAGUGAAAGAUAUGAUUCCUCUCCACUAUUUUCUUGAUAUCCAACCAUACUUUCAGAGCGAUGAUCUGUUCGUAUGCCAAGAGAAUCAUAUAUCAGACUUACGUAUCAUAGUGGGAAUAGCUGAUUGUGCUUUAAUGCUUACCCAUCUUCCUUUGCAACUAGGUAAAGUGCAUUGUCAGGAAGAGUUGUUUUCAAAAUCAACAUAGUUUUGGAGUUUUGUUGGAAAGCUUCAGUACACCCGACAUACAAUAUGCGGUGAACUAUGUCUGCUAGAAGAUGCAUUCUCCUAAAUCAAUGACUUCUCCAAUCUAAAGUGCAUUUAACACUAUUUUAAAGAUGCACAUUGACUGGGAAUAAACCUUGCAUAUAAUACUAAUUUCACUACUCACGAUUAUAGUGACUGAUUGAGCUUGUUACCGAGAGACACAGAGGUGUACCAGGGUUUCUACACUUUUCUUAGCUCAAAUUUAAUCUCCUGGUCUGCUAUACGCAAUCUCACAAUUUCACACUCUUCCACUGAAGCAGAAUAUUGUACUUUGUCCGAUAGGGCUGUAAAAUUGAAGUUUCUACACUUUUCUUAGCUCAAAUUUAAUCUCCUGGUCUGCUAUACGCAAUCUCACAAUUUCACACUCUUUCACUGAAGCAGAAUAUUGUACUUUGUCCGAUAGGGCUGUAAAAUUGAAGUUGAUUGCUACUAUUAUUUGAUAAAUGGGGUUCUCGUUACUAGUCAUACAUGGAGUAUACAGUGAUAAAAUAUAUGUGGUUUACUUAACAAAGAAUCCAAUUCAACACAAUCAGACCGAAACAUUUGUAUACGGAUUUUCACUAUGUUCAUGUACAGAGUUGUACUUGGUGCCUAAGUGGUUCAUCAAAUUCCAGGUGCUGAACAACUUGAUGGCACUUUCACAAAUUCCUUAACGCAGCAACCAUUUUUUGCUUCUCGUAGACUUGGGUUGUAUGUUCUACCUGCCACAAAGGGGGUUUGUAAACAGUAGUGAAGCAAAGACACAAGGUAAGAAGGAUGCUUUCUUCAAGCCCAAAUACAAAAGAAAGAAGAUAUGGGCAACCGACAAAAGAUCGACACCAGUAUGUCGUUCUAGCUCCUAAACAGCAACAAAGCUGUGACAAAAGCAGGUUUAUGUACGACAAUUAUAGCGCACGCAAUCUAACUUCAUAAUAUACUUGAUUCAUUAAAGGAGGGUAUGAUCACGUGGUUCUAAUCCUGUUUUUUUAAUCUUUUAGCAUGUAUUCACAUAUUUUAUGUAAAAUAUUUACAAACCCGUUCUGUUACCAAACGAAAAGAAAAUUAGAAAGCCGUUUAUCUUCUUGACUCUUAUUUAAACUCUUUCUUGAAAUUUUAUGUUUUACUAACAAAAUUUAACUGGGAGCUGGAAAUUUUUAUGAUUUGCAAAAAUGCCCAAACAAUCCUUCAACUCAGGUCAUAAUAAGUUGGCCGGUUUAACGUGGCCACGUAUAAUAAUAAAAAACAUCAUAUGUAAACAACAGACCAAAAUAAAUGAUCAAUCAUAAGUUUGAUUAGCUCGACUCAAAGACCGGUUGUGAUAGUAUAGUACUAGUCUAAAACUAAUGGCCACAUUGUUAAAGUUAUAGAUAGUCUUAUAUGUUAUGUUUAUGUUGUUCAUUAUAUACAUUUAAGUAUUUAAGAAAAACUAAUGUGCCUAGGUUUGAAAAUAAUUAAUCAGGCUAUUCAGAAAUGAAACUUAAGUGAUGUAAUAAGAAUUUGUGGGGAGUUCUUUUCUACUUCGUAGCAGAAAGAAGAAAGAAUAUUUUAGAAGAAUGAUGUAAUAAUUUGCCUACCAACACUAAUUAUAUAAACAAAGAAGAUUUGUUUUUGGCAAAAAAGGAAAAGAUUUGUAUUGGCACUCGUGUGCAAGAUGAUGAUGAUAUAUGAACCCCACCAUUCUCAACCUCAAGCUUUUCACUUCUACUCUACAUCUCUCAUUUUCUAAAAUAUUCAUAUCGCUCUCUAUCUUCUAGACUUUUCAAUCCAUUCACUAGACUGGAAUGUCGUAUAUGGAAAGGACAAUGUAUCCUCUCUUUCAACCAAUUGAGUUGAGGUAAGGAAAUGUAUUAAAAGCGUCUCACUCGUUAGGUAUAUAAGGUUUAAGAGCAAUUAAUAAAGUAAUCAAAGGAAAGGGUACGUAAUCUAUUUUACAAUUCAUAAAAAUGGGUUUUCGUCAAAGUAAAAAAGGCAGCUUAAGGUGGAUUGGUCUUUAGUGUUUAACAGCCAAACCAGAUUUGCUGUCACUAGCGAUUAGGAUGCAUUAUAUUUGCUUAAUUAGUUUGUAUAUAUAUCCAAUCUUACGUUUUGUACUAGACAUUCUUUUUGUAAAAAAAUGUAGUUGAAUGUGUGUUGUGGUUUGUCAACUUCGUUUGUUUCCAAAUUAUUUGAAAGAUACCCUGGUACAGACAAAGGAUUUAAACUGUAAGAAAACUUCAGAACUAUUGAGUUUCCCUACAAUUUUCAUAUGUUACAAGCUUGGAUAUACGAAAAUGUUUCAUGAAGUAUUCAUGAAUUCCUUAUCCCGGCACUUGAUUAUUUUUAAAGUGUUUUGUCUCUUUAACACUCAUUUGCAUCAAAUUUGAUAUAUUAUUUGACCACACCUUUUACCGAAAUGAUUAGAAAAUCCACUGACAUACACAAAAUCAAAAAUUUAUAAAACGAAUAUAAUUUGAUAAUUUCAGUACAUCUUCGAUCAUCUUUACCCACCAAAAUUUUCGUGUGCCAUAGAUAAUCUACUAAAGCAACGAAAUGGACAUGUAUCACUCUUUUUUUUUUUGGUCAAAUGGACAUGUAUCACUUAAAAGACACAAAACCGACAUAACGCUAGGUCGGUGAGAUAAAUUAUUUUUAUCCUAAAGAUUAGCCUGAUUAUGACUAUACCCUCAUAAUAUAUUAUAAUUAUUACGUUUAAUCUUGUGAUUUUACUAUGUUACCUAAUGUUCUUUCCAGACAAAGUUUAUUCUUCUGAGAGCAUUAUUGUUUAUGUUGUUUCUUUAUACGUUUAUUCUCUAUUAUCUAACUCGAAAACAACCGUUCUGAAAGGCUCGUUUCUUGCUUUCCAGUAACUUAAAGAAGGUUAUUCACUUGAUGAUGACGAAACAAAAGUCGGAUAAAAAGUUUAUCAUUUCAAACCUUCCCAUAAUUAUGGAUAAUCUAUAAAACAAAACGGUAUUUUCGUCCGUCCAUGUUGGAAUCAUUCCAAUUUUUAUACUGUUACACAUGUCUAAGACCAAAUAUUCAACUUAAGUAAGAAACCAAAACUUUGAUGGUUUGGUAGUAGUGUGAAGGUUCACUUAUGUCAUGGUUACAGAUCUUCUUUUCUACAGAAUGUUAUUUUUGAAAUUAGAAUUUCUAAAGAGUGAUUGAUGCCCUAGAAGAGAUUACAGAGCUAAAAUACGGAGCUUCCAUUAUUAACAAAAGAAACUUAAGUUUGCAGUACAAACUCAACCAUAGAAGGUUGGAUGGAUGGUAUAAAAGAGAAAUACGAAAUGUCAGCAUAGUUAGAAACGAUACAAAAUAGUAGUAAAAGUUGGUGAUGUGCUAAAAAUGGUGAUAUACCUUCCAGUGCCACCAGAUGGUUACAUGACAUGGUAUACGAUGUACCAAGGCAGUAAAACAUUACUAAUCAAAGCAAACGAUAUUAAUUCGAAAUUCUAGGUUGGGAAUUUAAAUUACAAACAGUUAUUUUCGUACGAGAAACCGUUAUCUCUAUCUGGAUUUAUACUAACACACUUUUAUAAGUGCGAUUAACUCGAUCAACCUAUACUUAAUAUUCCUGAUGAGAACGUUCUUUUGAUGGAUGAUUAAAGGGAAAAUGAAAUACAAUAAACUAUAUAAUUACUGAUGUAGGAAUGAUACUGAUGUCUUUACAAAAUAAAACAAAAAAAUAUAAUGUAUGUGCUGAAUUUAUUCUUCAACUUGAUAACAUUUCUAUUAAAAAGGGCAGUGGCAACUAGGCCUGGGCAUUCGGGUCGUCGGGUCGGAUUCGGAUCGGGUCCUUUCGGGUCCGGGUUUUUCGGGUCUAAAAGAGUUUAGGACCCGAUAGGGUAAUUUCAAAUUUUCGGUUCCGGGUCGGUUCGGGUCGUGCCGGGUCCGGGUCGGAUCGGGUCUUAGAUAGUUAGACCCAUUCGGGUAAUUAGAAUUUAUCGGUUCGGAUUCGGUUCGGUUUCGGGUCGGGUUCGGUUCGGGUUCGAUCUAAAAAAAACCUAAAAAUACAAAAAAAUAUCUGAAAAUAUUUAUAUAUCCGAAAAUAUUCAAAAUUUUAUUCAAAAUUUGUGUGUUUUAUUAUAUUAAAAUGUGUAUAUAUACUAAACUAUGCGAAAUACAACAACAAUUCGUUGUCUCCUAGUGGUUGACCCCCAUAUUCUCUAGACAAAUAACCCAUCUUCGAUUCCCCUUGAUGCAUUUUAUUUAAUUUACAUUAUUAAUUCGGAUAUUCAUCGGGUUUCGGGUUCGGGUCGGGUCGGGUCCAAGACCCGCGGGUCCUCUACAACAAGACCCGAUAGGGUAAUUUGAUCGGGUCGAUUCCUACCCGAACCAGGUUUUUUCGGUUCGGUUUCGGGUCGGGUCUUCGGGUCCGGGUAAAAUGCCCAGGCCUAGUGGCAACACAAGGUUGAGAAAACGAAAUGUGAGGAUCAUGUGUACCUUCAACAUAAACAAAUGUAUGAUUUGUUAGAGCUCUGGUCUCUAGAGGGACUAAAGAAUUUGUCCACGCUUCAAAUCAAGGGGCGUAGUAUAGAAAAUGUGAAGUUUGAUAAGACGUAAUAACAAUAUGUUCAAAUUUGGCUACACGCUACUGAAUGGUUGUGUGCCCGAGAGAAUAGCAUGCUUUUGCAAACGAGCUCUCUACGUAAAUUAAAUAUCUGAAGAUAUAUAUAUAUAUAUAUAUAUAUAUAUUUUUUUUUUAAUAUCUGAAGAGUUAGUUCGACGGAUUCAUCUCAAUAACGUUAAAGCAGAUUUCUCUGCUCGAGAUACCCAACAAAUACAGAUUUCUUUCCUUUGGUAUAUUUUUUAGCAAGCUCUAUAAACAACAUUUUUGAAUCAAUGAUAAAAUGCUUUUGUUGUAUAAUAAGAUGAGUCAAAAGUGUUUUUUUUUUCAUUUAAGAGUAGACUAUGUUUUCAUGUCGACUACAUUAGUCACAUGAGUUUGAUCUAAGGAAAAAUGAGUUACAUGAGAACUAUUUUGUCAUUCUGUACAUAUGACCUUCUAUCGAAACAUUCGGAUCUGACAAUUUCUUGAGACGAGUUAGAUAAGAUUUUGUUGUCUGGAUAUAUGGUCCAACCAUUUGGUCCACUAUAUGGAUAGCAUGAUCAAAGUUUUGUUUAUUUUAUUUGAUUUAAAACACUAUUACUAUCUAUGAGGUCACCAUAAUAUGUGCGUUCCCCUAUCGUUCAUGCAAUCAUGCGUUUCAUCUUUUUAAUAAGUUCAGUUUUUUUUUAUGGUGGGCUAUUAAUAUGGUUGGUUAACAAUAACAAGUGCCUGCUAUUUUUUAUUGGAGAAAUUGAACAAAAAAACAAUAUAGUUGUCAUUAUAGUAUAAAACCAUUUUUAUCCAUUUUCUCUCUCUUUUACCCUUUUAUUUCUGAAUAUUAAUGAAAUAAAUAGUUUUAUAAAUUCAAAAAAAUAUUAAAAAUAUAAACAAUUAAUAAAACACCUAUAUACAUAAACAUAUAUUUUUUUGGUUGAAAAACUUGAUAAAUAAAAACUUAAAAUUACGUUAUACUAAAAGUAGAAUUCGUCUUCUACAGAAAAUGGGUAAGUAGAAAACGAAUUCCAGAAUAAACAAGUCCAUCUAUUUUUUUUAGAAAAAACAAUCUACUUAUGAUUAAAAUUCUAAAUAUGAGGAAUGCAAAUUCUACUAAUUGUAAAGAUUUUUACUUUUAUCUUGAAUACAGUUUCUACUUUUAUGAAGUAUUCUGAAAUUUUGGGUAUGCGAAAUCUAAACUUAACACAAACGUCUACAAGAAGUAGAAAUUGUAUUCAUGAUUUUUAUUAUGAUUCUACACGGUGUAGAAGGUGUCUUCUACGGAUAAAAAAAACUGGUUUUCCGAAAAUUAAGGAAGUUUCAGUUAAAAAUAUAUUAUAAUUUCCUAAAACAUAUUCUGGUCGAUUUUUUUUGUCAAAAUAUAAAAAAAAAAUGAUUUUGGUUUUUCUUUUUCAUCAAUCUAUGAUUUCUCCAUAGUUUGUCAUUUGAUUUUUACAAACUCUUGUUCUAUGACUAAGGAACAAAUUUUUGGUAGUUUCAUGCAUCGUGUGAAACUACUUAAUUUUCUUGGUUGCUGCUAGUGGUUCGAGCAUGUCUUAUACUUUGUUCUUUUUUUUUUGAAAUCUCAUUUGCCAAUGUCAUAAUAGCUUCAGGAUACAGAUUAGCUAUCAUAAAAGAAAGCUAGAAAAGAAAGAAGAAGAAUAUCAUUAAUCUGCAAGAUUAUUACAAAUAACGUAGUACCCACGACAAAGUUGGAAACUGCAAACCAACUAGAGAUAGAGAUGCAACGGCAUCUCUAACGUUCAUUCUGCUUAACCUGAACGGUCGAUGCCUAAGUCUGGAUAAGUGUCAUCACCAAUAGAAACGUAGAGCCGAUGGUGGCUGUCCAUGUCUAUGGGUUACCAAAAUACACACGCUUGAGGAUGGCAUUUGACCUAUUCAUCAUGUUUCUAUAGUACUUGUUGACUUCACCCGCUAUAUCAUAAUAGUAAGAACCAGGAUCUACGAUGACUGUCACGAGCUUGUUCACCAUCUGCGCAACUUUAGCGGGUUGCCAAAUCCAACUUUUUAGUAUUCCUUUCAAACCAGAAACCACCACAAAUCAUUCAAUGCACACGUUUUAUAUAUACUGAUAUAAAAUAAAGAGAAAUGAGUUACCUUUCUCGAGAAGCAAGUCAACGUCUUUAUCAGUGUCAAUGAGAUAAUCUAAAAAUAAGGCGUAGCUACAGACGUGGGUGUGUUUAGGGUAAUGGCACUGCUCAAGAGCUAUUAUGUUUCUCUGUUUUAUCUCACGGCUGUCCUGCAAAGAAGAAAGAGAUAGUUUAGACAUAACACAAAAUCAUAUAGGAUCUGAACAAAUCAAUCGUAGAAAUAUCAAAAUCGAAAACAAAAAAAACUAAAGAAAAA